CAACCCCAACAUGUCUAUUGCCUUCUCCUCGGAGCGUUCAAUCCAGGAUGAGAUCAACCGAGAGAGUAGUUCUGACGUCAUUACAAUCCUCCUAAGCUACCUCAUCAUGUUUGCCUAUAUCUCCCUGACCCUUGGCAAGAUCAACACCUGUGCCAGAUUCUUUGUUGACUCCAAAAUA
Molecule: long non-coding RNA, 178 nt
Organism: Haliotis rubra (blacklip abalone)
Lineage: Eukaryota; Metazoa; Mollusca; Gastropoda; Lepetellida; Haliotidae
Exons: 3
Source: RefSeq, a predicted model, not a curated record